Molecule: ribosomal RNA, 496 nt
Filed under: uncultured bacterium
Lineage: Bacteria
Description: partial 16S ribosomal RNA
Rfam family: Bacterial small subunit ribosomal RNA
Source: RNAcentral
GAUGAACGCUGGCGGCGUGCCUAAUACAUGCAAGUCGAGCGAACGGACGAGAAGCUUGCUUCUCUGAUGUUAGCGGCGGACGGGUGAGUAACACGUGGAUAACCUACCUAUAAGACUGGGAUAACUUCGGGAAACCGGAGCUAAUACCGGAUAAUAUUUUGAACCGCAUGGUUCAAAAGUGAAAGACGGUCUUGCUGUCACUUAUAGAUGGAUCCGCGCUGCAUUAGCUAGUUGGUAAGGUAACGGCUUACCAAGGCAACGAUGCAUAGCCGACCUGAGAGGGUGAUCGGCCACACUGGAACUGAGACACGGUCCAGACUCCGACGGGAGGCAGCAGUAGGGAAUCUUCCGCAAGGGGCGAAAGCCUGACGGAGCAACGCCGCGUGAGUGAUGAAGGGCUUCGGAUCGUAAAACUCUGUUAUUAGGGAAGAACAUAUGUGUAAGUAACUGUGCACAUCUUGACGGUACCUAAUCAGAAAGCCACGGCUAACUACGU